RNAcentral lists this ribosomal RNA (175 nucleotides) under uncultured bacterium. Its description in RNAcentral is "partial 16S ribosomal RNA". It matches the Rfam family "Bacterial small subunit ribosomal RNA", at positions 337 to 525 of the family's 1533-position model. The record is from RNAcentral.
UCCUACGGGAGGCAGCAGUGGGGAAUAUUGGACAAUGGGCCACAAGCCUGAUCCAGCAAUUCUGUGUGCACGAUGAAGGUCUUCGGAUCGUAAAGUGCUUUCAGUUGGGAAGAAGAAAGUGACGGUACCAACAGAAGAAGCGACGGCUAAAUACGUGCCAGCAGCCGCGGUAAUA